UACGUAGGGCGCAAGCGUUGUCCGGAAUUAUUGGGCGUAAAGAGCUCGUAGGUGGCGUGUCGCGUCUGCCGUGAAAGCCCAUGGCUUAACUGUGGGUCUGCGGUGGAUACGGGCAGGCUGGAGGCUGGUAGGGGCAAGCGGAAUUCCUGGUGUAGCGGUGAAAUGCGCAGAUAUCAGGAGGAACACCAAUGGCGAAAGCAGCUCUCUGGGACGGUACUGACGCUGAGACGCGAAAGCGUGGGGAGCGAACAGG
This 253-nucleotide ribosomal RNA is filed under the name uncultured bacterium. Its description in RNAcentral is "partial 16S ribosomal RNA". It matches the Rfam family "Bacterial small subunit ribosomal RNA", at positions 524 to 776 of the family's 1533-position model. The record is from RNAcentral.